GAUGAACGCUGACAGAAUGCUUAACACAUGCAAGUCUACUUGAACUUCGGUUUGGGUGGCGGACGGGUGAGUCACGCGUAAAGAACUUGCCUCACAGUUAGGGACAACAUUUGGAAACGAAUGCUAAUACCUGAUAUUAUGAUUUUAGGGCAUCCUAGGAUUAUGAAAGCUAUAUGUGCUGUGAGAGAGCUUUGCGUCCCAUUAGCUAGUUGGAGAGGUAACGGCUCACCAAGGCGAUGAUGGGUAGCCGGCCUGAGAGGGUGAACGGCCACAAGGGGACUGAGACACGGCCCUAACUCCUACGGGAGGCAGCAGUGGGUAAUAUUGGACAAUGGACCAAAAGUCUGAUCCAGCAAUUCUGUGUGCACGAUGACGUUUUUCGGAAUGUAAAGUGCUUUCAGUUGGGAAGAAAAAAAUGACGGUACCAACAGAAGAAGUGACGGCUAAAUACGUG
This 454-nucleotide ribosomal RNA is filed under the name uncultured bacterium. RNAcentral describes it as "partial 16S ribosomal RNA". It matches the Rfam family "Bacterial small subunit ribosomal RNA", at positions 28 to 507 of the family's 1533-position model. The record is from RNAcentral.